This 202-nucleotide ribosomal RNA is filed under the name uncultured bacterium. RNAcentral's name for it is "partial 16S ribosomal RNA". It matches the Rfam family "Bacterial small subunit ribosomal RNA", at positions 130 to 334 of the family's 1533-position model. The record is from RNAcentral.
CCGAUGGAGGGGGGUAACUACUGGAAACGGUAGCUAAUACCGCAUAACGUCGCAAGACCAAAGAGGGGGACCUUCGGGCCUCUUGCCAUCGGAUGUGCCCAGAUGGGAUUAGCUAGUAGGUGGGGUAACGGCUCACCUAGGCGACGAUCCCUAGCUGGUCUGAGAGGAUGAUCAGCCACACUGGGACUGAGACACGGCCCAG